CCUACGGGUGGCAGCAGUAGGGAAUUUUGCGCAAUGGGGGAAACCCUGACGCAGCAACGCCGCGUGAUCGAUGAAGCCCUUCGGGGUGUAAAGAUCUGUCAGUGGGGACGAAACCUGACGGUACCCACAGAGGAAGCACCGGCUAACUCCGUGCCAGCAGCCGCGGUAAAACGGGGGGUGCAAGCGUUGUCCGGAAUCAUUGGGGGUAAAGAGUUCGUAGGUGGCACGUUAAGUCUGGGGGUAAAGGGGGAAGCUCAACUUCCGUAGGGCACUGGAUACUGGCGAACUUGAAUGCGGUAGAGGUAAAGGGAAUUCCUGGUGUAGAGGGGAAAGGCGUAGAUAUCAGGAGGAACAUCAGUGGCGGAAGCGCUUUACUGGGCCGUAAUUGACACUGAGGAACGAAAGCCGGGGUAGCAAAUGGGAUUAGAUACCCCAGUAGUC
This 441-nucleotide ribosomal RNA is filed under the name uncultured bacterium. RNAcentral describes it as "partial 16S ribosomal RNA". It matches the Rfam family "Bacterial small subunit ribosomal RNA", at positions 338 to 795 of the family's 1533-position model. The record is from RNAcentral.